GAGCGAUCGCCCCACGUGAGCUAAAUCCGCUCUCCACAGAGUUCGAGAGCUCUCCUCCCUCCUCCGAUCCUUUGCCUCGAUCACGGGAGGAAGAUGGAGGCGGCCGAAGAAGCGGAGGGAAGCGCUUCGAAGGAAGAACCACAGGAAGCUCUCGAAGAGAUGCUCUCUAGACACCGGCAAGAGAUGACCAAGCUCCAUAGCAAAGAGAUGAGUCUGAAAAAAGCUGCUGCAAAAGGAAGCAAAGCUGAACAGAAAGCCAAGAAGAAGCAGGUGGAGAAUGAGAUAUCCCGUCUUCAAUCCCAACUAAAAGCUAAACACACACAAGAACUUGCAUCAUUGGGCUAUAAAGCAACUGAGAGAACAGAGAAGAAUAAUUUAGACAUUCUGGUGAAGGCCAUUGCUGGCGUUAAUGUCACAGGCAAUAGUGACUUGGCAAAACCCAGUAAAGGAGCAAGGAGAAGAGAAAGAAGAGCUCAGGAAGAAGCUGCAAGAGAGCAGAGGAUUCAGGAAGAACAGAGCAACAUGAUUAGCGAUCGCAUGAUUGAAAAUGAGAGGCUGGAGAGGAAACUGGAGCCCCUGGGAUUGACAAUCAACGAGAUAAAACCAGAUGGUCAUUGUCUUUAUCGAGCUGUUGAGGACCAGCUCUCACUUUACUCCAAUGAUAACUCGCCCUACGUUUUCCAGGAGCUACGAAAAAUGGCUGCUAAUUACAUGAGAAACCAUGCAUCUGAUUUUCUACCAUUUUUCCUAUCUGAGAGUAAAAUUGAACUUGAUGCAGAUAGGUCACCCCUGGAAAGAUUUGAGAAGUACUGCGAAGAGGUUGAGUCCACAGCAGCUUGGGGAGGACAACUUGAGCUGGGUGCUCUUACACAUUGCCUUAAGAAACAUAUCAUCAUAUAUUCAGGUUCUUUCCCUGACGUGGAGAUGGGAAAAGAAUACAAGACUGAAAUAGGAAACAGUAUCAGCAACCCAAGCAUAAUGUUAUCGUAUCAUCGGCAUGCUUAUGGCCUUGGCGAGCACUACAAUUCGGUCAUUCCCAACACUGUGAGGUGGGAGCUGCUGGAUGUUGGCAACCAGAAUUCAGAAAGAUGAGGGGAUAUUCUUGACUUGGUUAUCUUUUUGCACUGGAUCUAAAGGCCAUUGCACCUAUGGGCUCAUGAAAUGACUCCUUUAGGGUCCCAUAGACAGUAUGUAAGGAGAGGAGGAAAAAAAAAAGCAGAGGGAUCAAGUUCUUAUUACCUUUUUAUCUCAUUUGUCAUCUCUUGAUAUCAAUCACAUGCCUCAAUAGAGUGAAGUCAGUGGUGGUCCUCUGAGCCAGAAUUGAACCAGGAGAGGACCACUAAGAAAACCUACUUCCAGACUUGUGGUGGUAAAAGGCAAAAGGAAGAACAAACCCAGAAAGAAUCUGAGAGAAACAGCUACAGGAUUUAAAUAUUUAAAUUUCAAACAGCCACCAGGGCAAUUUGUAGAAAGUAGAAUGGGAGCAUCUUCCAUAGUUGAGAGGCUUGUAGGUGUAGAUGUGAAAGCUUGAGUGGGGGCUUCAACUCAGGAAAUUAAAUAUCUCCUGGUACAAACCCAGCAUCACAUAGAAUGUGCCUUUUUCAUUCCACCACUAUGUCAACUGGUUUGAUGCAUUUGGUGCCACUGUAAUAAUUGUAGAUCUACAAAUAAUGGAAAGCAGCAGUCAGCCAUCAUCUGUUGGUAGCUUUAAGUUUGUCCCUCUUGCACACUUUCCACCCACCCACAUUGAAUGCAGUAACCAAUCCAUGCCAUGGACCACCUUUUUCAUAUCGUUGCUGACAACUAUAGAUUAUUGGUGGAUAUGAAAUCAUUUAAAAUCUUUGGAUGGGAGCUGAGUAGUGAUGAGGUGAAUUCUAGAGACUUGACAGGUAGCCGACAGCAGAUAAUGAAGGUGGAAUGCAAGAGAUUGCUGCUUCGAACUCCUGUAUCAGCAAUGUGGACAAUAGCUCAACACUGGUACAGACAUGCUUGAUGUCCUUUGUGCCGACUCUGGAGGCCACUACUAUCGUUCAGAUUGGGUGUUCCUACUAGUUUAUGUAUUGCCUGUGUCUUUGUAAGUGUUUCAGUGGCUUAUUGCAGCUGAGAUAUGCAUGUAGAAGCCAUUAACCACAUUGGAGAAUCAAAGGUUGCUGUACUUGUGUGUC
Musa acuminata AAA Group (dessert banana) is the source of this 2165-nucleotide RNA transcript. It is a transcript of the gene named OVARIAN TUMOR DOMAIN-containing deubiquitinating enzyme 5, with no coding region annotated. The transcript has 5 exons. Lineage: Eukaryota; Viridiplantae; Streptophyta; Magnoliopsida; Zingiberales; Musaceae. The record is from RefSeq and is a predicted model, not a curated record.